UACAGAGGUCUCAAGCGUUGUUCGGAUUCAUUGGGCGUAAAGGGUGCGUAGGCGGCGCGGUAAGUCGGGUGUGAAAUCUUGGAGCUUAACUCCGAAACUGCAUUCGAUACUGCCGUGCUUGAGGACUGGAGAGGAGACUGGAAUUUACGGUGUAGCGGUGAAAUGCGUAGAUAUUGGGAAGAACACCGGUGGCGAAGGCGGCCAUCUGGACCGGUUCUGACGCUGAGGCGCGAAAGCGUGGGGAGCAAACAGG
This 253-nucleotide ribosomal RNA is filed under the name uncultured bacterium. RNAcentral's name for it is "partial 16S ribosomal RNA". It matches the Rfam family "Bacterial small subunit ribosomal RNA", at positions 524 to 776 of the family's 1533-position model. The record is from RNAcentral.